UACGGGGGGGGCAAGCGUUGUUGCGGAAUUACUGGGCGUAAAGGGCUCGUAGGCGGCCAACUAAGUCAGACGUGAAAUCCCUCGGCUUAACUGGGGAACUGCGUCUGAUACUGGAUGGCUUGAGUUUGGGAGAGGGACGCGGAAUUCCAGGUGUAGCGGUGAAAUGCGUAGAUAUCAAGAGGAACACCAGUGGCGAAGGCGAGUCCCUGGACAACUUCUGACGCUGAGGCACGAAAGCUAGGGGAGCAAACAGG
RNAcentral lists this ribosomal RNA (254 nucleotides) under uncultured bacterium. RNAcentral describes it as "partial 16S ribosomal RNA". It matches the Rfam family "Bacterial small subunit ribosomal RNA", at positions 524 to 776 of the family's 1533-position model. The record is from RNAcentral.